Molecule: ribosomal RNA, 468 nt
Filed under: uncultured bacterium
Lineage: Bacteria
Description: partial 16S ribosomal RNA
Rfam family: Bacterial small subunit ribosomal RNA
Source: RNAcentral
GACGAACGCUGGCGGCGUGCUUAACACAUGCAAGUCGAACGGAAAGGCCCUGCUUUUGUGGGGUGCUCGAGUGGCGAACGGGUGAGUAACACGUGAGUAACCUGCCCUUGACUUUGGGAUAACUUCAGGAAACUGGGGCUAAUACCGGAUAGGAGCUCCUGCUGCAUGGUGGUGGUUGGAAAGUUUCGGCGGUUGGGGAUGGACUCGCGGCUUAUCAGCUUGUUGGUGGGGUAGUGGCUUACCAAGGCUUUGACGGGUAGCCGGCCUGAGAGGGUGACCGGGCACAUUGGGACUGAGGUACGGACCAGACUCCUACGGGAGGCAGCAGUGGGGAAUAUUGCGCAAUGGGCGGAAGCCUGAUGCAGAAACGCCGGGUGCGGGAUGACGGCCUUCGGGUUGUAAACCGCUUUCGACUGUGACGAAGCGUGAGUGACGGUAAUGGGUAAAGAAGCACCGGCUAACUACGUG